UAAUAAAAUUUCUGUCCAUUCCAACUGUUAAAAACCAGCCUGACUGAUGAAAUAACCAAACAAUUACACGUGGUGUGUCACAAGUACCUAAUGCUAACAUACAGGACUAGUUUUUAACAAUAAAAAAGAAUAGAAUUAUUAACA
Non-coding RNA from Gossypium raimondii (Peruvian cotton), 144 nucleotides. The record is from Rfam. Lineage: Eukaryota; Viridiplantae; Streptophyta; Magnoliopsida; Malvales; Malvaceae.